AGACUUGUAAUUGUUCAUGUUUUGAAGCAUUUAAUGCCUCUUUCUUCAUACGUUUGUAACAUAUCGUGCUGUUUGACGCCAGUCCGUGACGCAGCAGGUAAACUCUUAGAGCGUUACACAGUCAGCUGGCGUCACUGAUCUGACAAUCCCUCAUCAGUCGGCACGCUUCUGUGAGGAUCUCCAGCCGUCCUCUGUAUUCAUCGCUGACCGCGGCAAACGCUUCCUCAGGCGCACAGACGGCACGGAUCGUUAGGAGCACACUUCUGUGAGCCGUGAAUGAAGACAAUACAAUCGUGAAGUGACAAGUGCAUAAAUCCCAACUUCCAAACCUUUUCCUGAAAGAUGCUUCAACUUUGCAAUAGAUCUCAAAUGGAAGACGUCUCCUCUAACAACAGCACCAAUUUGUUUAUUAAAAAAAUAGU
This is a long non-coding RNA of Sinocyclocheilus grahami, 422 nucleotides long. RefSeq lists it as uncharacterized. NCBI's taxonomy places the organism in Eukaryota, Metazoa, Chordata, Actinopteri, Cypriniformes, Cyprinidae. The record is from RefSeq and is a predicted model, not a curated record. The transcript is spliced from 3 exons.